This 482-nucleotide ribosomal RNA is filed under the name uncultured bacterium. RNAcentral describes it as "partial 16S ribosomal RNA". It matches the Rfam family "Bacterial small subunit ribosomal RNA", at positions 30 to 507 of the family's 1533-position model. The record is from RNAcentral.
AUUGAACGCUGGCGGCAUGCCUUACACAUGCAAGUCGAACGGUAACGGGCCUUCGGGUGCCGACGAGUGGCGAACGGGUGAGUAAUACAUCGGAACGUGCCCGAUCGUGGGGGAUAAUGAGGCGAAAGCUUUGCUAAUACCGCAUACGAUCUACGGAUGAAAGCAGGGGACCGCAAGGCCUUGCGCGGACGGAGCGGCCGAUGGCAGAUUAGGUAGUUGGUGGGAUAAAAGCUUACCAAGCCGACGAUCUGUAGCUGGUCUGAGAGGAUGAUCAGCCACACUGGGACUGAGACACGGCCCAGGCUCCUACGGGAGGCAGCAGUGGGGAAUUUUGGACAAAGGGCGCAAGCCUGAUCCAGCCAUGCCGCGUGCAGGAUGAAGGCCUUCGGGUUGUAAACUGCUUUUGUACGGAACGAAAAGCCUUCUUUUAAUACAGGAGGGUCAUGACGGUACCGUAAGAAUAAGCACCGGCUAACUACGUG